GAUGAACGCUAGCUACAGGCUUAACACAUGCAAGUCGAGGGGCAGCAUGACGAUUGCUUGCAAUUGUCGAUGGCGACCGGCGCACGGGUGAGUAACGCGUAUCCAACCUUCCCCUUAGUAGGGCAUAGCCCGGCGAAAGUCGGAUUAACACCCUAUGUUAUUCGUCGAGGACAUCUGAAGUGAAUCAAAGGUUUACCGCUAAGGGAUGGGGAUGCGUCUGAUUAGGUAGUCGGCGGGGUAACGGCCCACCGAGCCAUCGAUCAGUAGGGGUUCUGAGAGGAAGGUCCCCCACACUGGUACUGAGGCACGGACCAGACUCCUACGGGAGGCAGCAGUGAGGAAUAUUGGUCAAUGGGCGCGAGCCUGAACCAGCCAAGUAGCGUGCAGGAUGACGGCCCUACGGGUUGUAAACUGCUUUUAUGCGGGGAUAAAGUGGCCUACGUGUAGGUUAUUGCAGGUACCCCAUGAAUAAGGACCGGCUAAUUCCGUGCCACCAGCCCCGGUAAUACAGAAGGUCCGGGCGUUAUCCGGAUUUAUUGGGUUUAAAGGGAGCCCACGCCGAUGGUUAAACGUGACGUGAAAUGUACCCCCUCAACGGCUGAACUGCCUCCCCGAACUGGCUAUUUUGAAAUGGGUACAACCUCCCCGGAAUUCCUGGUGUAACGGGUGGAAAUGCUUUAAGAUUAUCACGAAAAAAACCCCCGAUUUGGCCAAAGGCACUUGGCGAAGUCCUUUAAAUUGACCCUUAAAGCUUCAAAGGUGCCGGGUAUCGAAAAGGAAUUUAAAUACCCCUGGUAGUUCCCCACGGUAAAAAAAUGGAUGCCCGCUUGUUGGCGAUACAAUGUCAGCGGCCAAGAGAAAGCGUUAAGCAUUCCCACCUGGGGAGUACGCCGGCAACGGUGAAACUCAAAGGAAUUGACGGGGGCCCGCACAAGCGGAGGAACAUGUGGUUUAAUUCGAUGAUACGCGAGGAACCUUACCCGGGCUUGAACUGCAGCAGAACGAUUCAGAGAUGAUGAGGCCCUUCGGGGCUGCUGUGGAGGUGCUGCAUGGUUGUCGUCAGCUCGUGCCGUGAGGUGUCGGCUUAAGUGCCAUAACGAGCGCAACCCCUCUCGCCAGUUGCCAUCAGGUCAUGCUGGGCACUCUGGGGACACUGCCACCGUAAGGUGUGAGGAAGGUGGGGAUGACGUCAAAUCAGCACGGCCCUUACGUCCGGGGCUACACACGUGUUACAAUGGGUGGUACAGAGAGUCAGCGCAUCGCAAGUUGCGUUCAAUCAUGAAAGCCAUCCUCAGUUCGGACUGGGGUCUGCAACCCGACCCCACGAAGCUGGAUUCGCUAGUAAUCGCGCAUCAGCCAUGGCGCGGUGAAUACGUUCCCGGGCCUUGUACACACCGCCCGUCAAGCCAUGAAAGCCUGGGGCGCCUGAAGUCCGUGACCGCGAGGGUCGGCCUAGGGUGAAACAGGUGAUUGGGGC
RNAcentral lists this ribosomal RNA (1477 nucleotides) under uncultured rumen bacterium. RNAcentral describes it as "16S ribosomal RNA". It matches the Rfam family "Bacterial small subunit ribosomal RNA". The record is from RNAcentral.